GCCGAAGUGGCGGAAUGGCAGACGCGCAUGGUUCAGGACCAUGUGCCCGCAAGGGCGUGGGGGUUCAACUCCCCCCUUCGGCACCA
RNAcentral lists this transfer RNA (86 nucleotides) under Armatimonadetes bacterium RBG_16_58_9. RNAcentral's name for it is "tRNA-Leu". It matches the Rfam family "tRNA". From Rfam's summary of the family: Transfer RNA (tRNA) molecules are approximately 80 nucleotides in length. Their secondary structure includes four short double-helical elements and three loops (D, anti-codon, and T loops). Lineage: Bacteria; Bacillati; Armatimonadota. RNAcentral also lists the same sequence under 1 other name. The record is from RNAcentral.